This 87-nucleotide transfer RNA is filed under the name Membranihabitans marinus. It matches the Rfam family "tRNA". Rfam says of the family: Transfer RNA (tRNA) molecules are approximately 80 nucleotides in length. Their secondary structure includes four short double-helical elements and three loops (D, anti-codon, and T loops). Further hydrogen bonds mediate the characteristic L-shaped molecular structure. tRNAs have two regions of fundamental functional importance: the anti-codon, which is responsible for specific mRNA codon recognition, and the 3' end, to which the tRNAs corresponding amino acid is attached (by aminoacyl-tRNA synthetases). tRNAs cope with the degeneracy of the genetic code in two manners: having more than one tRNA (with a specific anti-codon) for a particular amino acid; and 'wobble' base-pairing, i.e. permitting non-standard base-pairing at the 3rd anti-codon position. Lineage: Bacteria; Pseudomonadati; Bacteroidota; Saprospiria; Saprospirales; Saprospiraceae. The record is from Rfam by way of RNAcentral.
GGUGAGGUGGGUGAGUGGCUUAAACCACCAGUUUGCUAAACUGGCGUACUGUAACAGGUACCGAGGGUUCGAAUCCCUCCCUCACCG